This is a long non-coding RNA of Cynocephalus volans (Philippine flying lemur), 1909 nucleotides long. RefSeq lists it as uncharacterized. NCBI's taxonomy places the organism in Eukaryota, Metazoa, Chordata, Mammalia, Dermoptera, Cynocephalidae. The record is from RefSeq and is a predicted model, not a curated record. The transcript is spliced from 5 exons.
AGCUCCCCCUCCGCCCCUGACCCGGGCCGCUGCCCCGCUGGGCCACCUGCUCCCACCCGCGAAGCCCCCAGCCCGCCAGCCCCGCCGGCCCCUGCACUCGCCGCGCGCACCCCGCAGUCCUCGUGCCCUGGCCCGCGGCGCCACACACAGCCCCGACGACCUUGAAGACCGCGCGUAACUAUCCCGCUCCUCGGAAUCCCGGCUCACUGGACAAUCCUCACGAGCCGGCCGUGCCGUGACAGACCUGGCGUCGGAACUGGACUUGAGCCGGAAGGACGCACAUUACGUCCUGGGCUGGACGCCCCCGGAGACGGUCGCCGAAGAGCCUUUGAUGAUGGUGACCUCAGAUAAUGGUUUCUUUUUCAGUUGGUCUUAUGGAAAAGGACAAGAUAGCAUCAUUUUAACUCAAGGAAGAAUUCACAGCCUUUUCCGCUCUAUUAAACCGAUGUCCUGAUAAGAGCGGAAACUUUAUGCAUCUCUCCUUUUUUUUCCAUCAUGUACAAAGAAGCAAUAUCUCAUCAUGUGACUAUUCGCAUAUGUGGUUUAAAAUUGUUAAAUAUAGACAAGAUCAGCAUCCUUUCCUCCUUGGUUUAAGUGCGGGAAGGGAAGAAGUCCUGAGAAAGUCUGAGAACAGCUCCUCUGGGUGAGGAUGCAGUGCCUGGGGCUGCUGCUGCCAUCUUGUGACCACAAGAGGAGCCGCCAACACAGUGAGGACAGUGGAGCAGAGAGAAGCCUGGGUCACUGACCGUCAGAAAUAGCCAAACGGGGUCUCCAGUUGUUCCAGCACCAUCUGUUUAAAAGACUUUCUUUUCCCUGUGAUCUUGUCAAAAUUCAACUGAACAUACAUGUAUGGAUCUAUUUCCUAGGUUUCCAGGUGCUGACAGGGUGAGGGGAGGCUGGAACCCUCCUGAAGAAAAGGCACCUUUUUCUUUACCCAAAAGCACUAACCAGCAGCAAAGCCAUGUUCCUGCCACCUUUUUCUAAGUUGCAAAAUGACACCGUACGUGGCAGCUCUGAGCUUCCCAUUUGUAAGGUUUCCUCUCAGAAGCAGGAUGGCAGUGGAAAGGAGAGUUUUGGGUCACGUGUUUGUAAGGCACUAGGUUGACUAGCAGCCACAUAAUGAAUGCUGGGGAGACCCUCAUCUGACCCCCUGACUUGCCAUUCCUGAGGUUCCUCAAGUCAGCUUUCAAAUCCUCUCCCAGAGUGGCUCCUUCAUGACAGGUCUUCUCCAACUUUAAUGUGUGUAAAAUUCAUCUGGGACACUCACUGAAAUGCAGAUUCAUCAGAAUCAUCAGCUAGUUUGGAAUGGGCUCCCAGGCUGAGGCCAAUGCCUUUGAUCUGGGAACUACCCUUGGUUUAUCAGGGCUCCAGAGCCUUCUAGACUCUUAUGACAGUGGCAGAACAGGAAUUGGGGGCUCCCCCAAAGAAAGCUGGCUACUGGAGGAAAAGGUACUUCCUCCAUGGGGCCACCGCUUCUCUGAGUGGAUUGUGAACUCACAUGGGCAUGUCCUAGAACACUCUAGCUUAGCGGCCACCAAAAUUUGGCUUUCUGGGAAGAAGAUGCCUGUACCAUGGAGAUUCUGAGGCGCCUGGCUACACAGAGAGGAAGGUCCAGAGGGGAAGGGGAAGAGCAAUCUUUUCAUGAGCCUGAGUCCAUGGGAGUUUGGGGGCUUUGGGAGUGCUGAGGAUUUCUAAGAACGGGUGGGUGCUCACCUGGAGAUUGUCAACGAAAAGACUCCCUACCCCUGAGGUGAAAUGAUUUUAAAAUAACCUCGACCAGUCAACUUCUUGUGCAUUUGGAAGCCCUUUUACAAGGCUUUGCCACCUGGCAAUGUGUGGAUCUCAAGAUCAGCUGUUAGAAAUGAUACUAAAAAAACAAACAAACAAUAAAACUUGUUUGAAGAGUUAA